UCGAGCCGUGGGCUUCCCACUAGGUCCCGGAAGGAGCUUUCAAAUCUGGGGCGGAUCUCUGAUCGCCCGCAAGUGAUGGGCUACGGGGCCGGUGGGUGGUCUGCGUGCGGAGGGUCGGAGCUUCCCGCAGAGCCCGCCGUGCCGCGAGGGAUGGGACGCUGCCUGGUGGUUGCGGCGGGUACCACCUCCGUUGGCACGGACGCCAAUCUCGGAUACCGUCGUGGAGACGAGACGUAGCGAAGGCCUGGAGGUUAAUCUCCUGGAGCGGCAAAUAGAGACAGCUAAAGAAGAGUCACUGAACCAGUUAGGAGACUAUUGCAGUCAUCCCAGCAAGAGAUGAUAACGUGGACUUGGGACGUGGCAGAGCUGAUACAGAAAACUGGAAGAUUUCAGAGGUCAUGGAAGAGCCAGCAUGUGGGGGAACUUUAUUCCUAUGUCCAAAUAUGAAAUCUGUUCAGAUGUAGCUUCCUUCUCCUUCAAUUUUUGUAAGCAAAUUUGAUUAAGUGUUUGAGAACUGCAGAAAUGAAAAGUGGAACACAGUCUGCCACUGCUAAUUCGCAGCUCUGUGAUAUUGGGCAAACCA
Lynx canadensis (Canada lynx) is the source of this 583-nucleotide long non-coding RNA. RefSeq lists it as uncharacterized. The record is from RefSeq and is a predicted model, not a curated record. Lineage: Eukaryota; Metazoa; Chordata; Mammalia; Carnivora; Felidae. The transcript is spliced from 3 exons.